Molecule: long non-coding RNA, 219 nt
Filed under: Elaeis guineensis (African oil palm)
Lineage: Eukaryota; Viridiplantae; Streptophyta; Magnoliopsida; Arecales; Arecaceae
Description: long non-coding RNA (EGUI_LNC016962)
Source: RNAcentral
UUCUCCUAGGGAUAAGUGCUGGCAUCUUAUAUUCUGUGUAGUCAUCUUUCUCCAGGCUCCUUUCCUUCUAUGUUGUGGAUCGUCGAGUCUUAUUGUUUCAUGGUCCUGAUGAGAAUAGCUACCUGUUGCUUCUUCUCUGAAGAUCCUUACUACUCCUACUGUUUGUCGAUGGCUGAAGCUUCUCUUCUUUGUUUGCCGAAGCAUCUCUCUUCCUCAUUC